This 492-nucleotide ribosomal RNA is filed under the name uncultured bacterium. Its description in RNAcentral is "partial 16S ribosomal RNA". It matches the Rfam family "Bacterial small subunit ribosomal RNA", at positions 29 to 507 of the family's 1533-position model. The record is from RNAcentral.
AGUGAACGCUGGCGGUAGGCCUAACACAUGCAAGUCGAACGGCAGCACAGUAAGAGCUUGCUCUUACGGGUGGCGAGUGGCGGACGGGUGAGGAAUACAUCGGAAUCUACUUUUUCGUGGGGGAUAACGUAGGGAAACUUACGCUAAUACCGCAUACGACCUACGGGUGAAAGCAGGGGAUCUUCGGACCUUGCGCGAUUGAAUGAGCCGAUGUCGGAUUAGAUAGUUGGCGGGGUAAAGGCCCACCAAGGCGACGAUCCGUAGCUGGUCUGAGAGGAUGAUCAGCCACACUGGAACUGAGACACGGUCCAGACUCCGACGGGAGGCAGCAGUGGGGAAUAUUGGACAAUGGGCGCAAGCCUGAUCCAGCCAUACCGCGUGGGUGAAGAAGGCCUUCGGGUUGUAAAGCCCUUUUGUUGGGAAAGAAAAGCAGCAGGUUAAUACCCCGCUGUUCUGACGGUACCCAAAGAAUAAGCACCGGCUAACUUCGUG